UUUCCGUAGGUGAACCUGCGGAAGGAUCAUUACCGUAUAACCGACUUGCGAGCGCUGUCGCUAAACCGUUAGGUCAUCCACCCCCUGGUGCCCCCACACACAUCCCUCUCGUCACUAUCUGCACCACCGCCUGGGUCCCCCUUCUGCGUGUUCGGCUGGGCGCUGGCGUUUUCACACAAACUUUGUAUGAAGUGUAGAAUGUUUUUUUUGUUUUAGCGAUCACGCUUUCAAUACAACUUUCAACAACGGAUCUCUUGGCUCUG
RNAcentral lists this unclassified non-coding RNA (263 nucleotides) under plant metagenome. RNAcentral describes it as "partial contains small subunit ribosomal RNA, internal transcribed spacer 1, and 5.8S ribosomal RNA". The record is from RNAcentral.